Molecule: ribosomal RNA, 492 nt
Filed under: uncultured bacterium
Lineage: Bacteria
Description: partial 16S ribosomal RNA
Rfam family: Bacterial small subunit ribosomal RNA
Source: RNAcentral
AGUGAACGCUGGCGGCAGGCCUAACACAUGCAAGUCGAACGGAAGCACAGUAAGAGUUUGCUUUUACGGGUUGCGAGUGGCGGACGGGUGACGAAUACAUCGCAAUCUUCUCUUUCGUGGGGGAUUACGUAGCGACGCUUAUUCUAAUAUCGCAUAUGACCUACGGUUUAAAUCUGUGGAUCUUCGUUCCUUUCGCGUUUGAUUUAGCUGGUGGCGGAUUAGCUUGUUGGUGUGGUAAUGGCCUACCAAGGCAACGAUCCGUAGCUGAUCUGAGAGGAUGAUCGGCCACACUGGAACUGAGACACGGUCCAGACUACUACGGGAGGCAGCAGUAGGGAAUAUUGGACAAUGGGCGCAAGCCUGAUCCAGCCAGACUGCGUGGGUGAAGAAGGCCUUCGGGUUGUAAAGACCUUUUGUUGGGAAAGAAAAGCAGAAGAAUAAAACGACGAUGUUGUGACGGUACCUAAUGAAUAAGCACCGGCUAACUACGUG